GUGGUCAGGUAGAGAAUACCAAGGAGAUCGAGAGAAUCGUGGUUAAGGAACUCGGCAAAAUGCCCCCGUAACUUCGGGAGAAGGGGGGCCAUCCACUUAUUAGGACUUGCUCCGAAAGGGUGUGGUGGCCGCAGAGACUAGUGGGUAGCGACUGUUUACUAAAAACACAGGUCCGUGCCAAGUCGCAAGACGAUGUAUACGGACUGACGCCUGCCCGGUGCUGGAAGGUUAAGGGGAACUGUUAA
Molecule: ribosomal RNA, 245 nt
Filed under: Platyophrya macrostoma
Lineage: Eukaryota; Ciliophora; Colpodea; Cyrtolophosidida; Platyophryidae
Description: partial Bacterial large subunit ribosomal RNA
Rfam family: Bacterial large subunit ribosomal RNA
Source: RNAcentral